GACGAACGCUGGCGGCGUGCUUAACACAUGCAAGUCGAACGGAAAGGCCCUGCUUUUGUGGGGUGCUCGAGUGGCGAACGGGUGAGUAACACGUGAGUAACCUGCCCUUGACUUUGGGAUAACUUCAGGAAACUGGGGCUAAUACCGGAUAGGAGCUCCUGCUGCAUGGGGGGGGUUGGAAAGUUUCGGCGGUUGGGGAUGGACUCGCGGCUUAUCAGCUUGUGGGUGGGGUAGUGGCUUACCAAGGCUUUGACGGGUAGCCGGCCUGAGAGGGUGACCGGCCACAUUGGGACUGCGAUGCGGCCCAGACUCCUACGGGAGGCAGCAGUGGGGAAUAUUGCACAAUGGGCGGAAGCCUGAUGCAGCAACGCCGCGGGCGGGAUGACGGCCUUCGGGUUGUAAACCGCUUUCGCCUGUGACGAAGCGUGAGUGACGGUAAUGGGUAAAGAAGCACCGGCUAACUACGUG
RNAcentral lists this ribosomal RNA (468 nucleotides) under uncultured bacterium. Its description in RNAcentral is "partial 16S ribosomal RNA". It matches the Rfam family "Bacterial small subunit ribosomal RNA", at positions 28 to 507 of the family's 1533-position model. The record is from RNAcentral.